GCAAAGCGCCAGAGCCGCCCCGGCGGCUGACGAGGUGGGAGGUUAUCGAAGUUUUCGGCGGGUGCCUCCCCGUCACGCUUCCUGACGCAGCCGCUUUUAAAACCUCCGGGCAACCGGACCGACAGAGGAA
Molecule: non-coding RNA, 130 nt
Filed under: Candidatus Anaerotruncus excrementipullorum
Lineage: Bacteria; Bacillati; Bacillota; Clostridia; Eubacteriales; Oscillospiraceae
Description: glmS glucosamine-6-phosphate activated ribozyme
Rfam family: glmS glucosamine-6-phosphate activated ribozyme aptamer
About the family: This entry contains a glucosamine-6-phosphate activated ribozyme that is found in the mRNA for GlmS. GlmS is an enzyme that uses fructose-6-phosphate and glutamine to generate glucosamine-6-phosphate.
Source: RNAcentral